UAAAAGGUCCUUUUUAGGGCCACCCAAAUAUCAAAAAAAGAAUCU
This 45-nucleotide non-coding RNA is filed under the name Mytilus galloprovincialis (Mediterranean mussel). It matches the Rfam family "Histone 3' UTR stem-loop". From Rfam's summary of the family: The mRNAs of metazoan histone genes lack a poly-A tail. Lineage: Eukaryota; Metazoa; Mollusca; Bivalvia; Mytilida; Mytilidae. The record is from RNAcentral.